UACAGAGGUCCCGAGCGUUGUUCGGAUUCACUGGGCGUAAAGGGUGCGUAGGUGGUUAGGUAAGUCCGAUGUGAAAUCUCCAGGCUCAACCUGGAAAUGGCAUUGGAUACUAUUUAGCUUGAGGAGUGGAGGGGGGACUGGAAUUCUCGGUGUAGCAGUGAAAUGCGUAGAUAUCGGGAGGAACACCAGUGGCGAAGGCGAGUCCCUGGACACUUCCUGACACUGAGGCACGAAAGCUAGGGGAGCAAACAGG
RNAcentral lists this ribosomal RNA (253 nucleotides) under uncultured bacterium. Its description in RNAcentral is "partial 16S ribosomal RNA". It matches the Rfam family "Bacterial small subunit ribosomal RNA", at positions 524 to 776 of the family's 1533-position model. The record is from RNAcentral.